AGGGGGUAUAGGUGAUGGCAUUUGUUGAAGAGUAAAAAUUGUUUGGCCCAUCAAAGAUCUAGAUCCAAAUGGCUAAAAGAAGGUGAUGCAAAUAAAUACUGGUAGUUAUUUUCAUGCAUGUGUUAAAGCUAGGAAGAGAAACAAUACUAUUGUGGAGAUUAAGAAGGUUGGAGAAACCGGUGGAGUGGAGGUAUGAAAGGAGGUGGUGAAAUAUUUUGUGAAGCACUUUGCGGUGGUGGAGGAGUGGACUUGGCCUCAACUUGAUGAUGUAGGGUUCCCAAAGACUCUCUCUGUCUCUUUCUCUCUCCCUUCACCAAAGGGUGCUUCUUGAAGGUGCUUUUUGGGAUGAUUGCAAGGGUAAAAUUAAGGUCAUGAUGGAUCAAUUCUUCUUCAAUUCUACACUUCUAAGAGGUUUACUCUCCUACUUCAUUACUUUAAUUUCAAAGGUGAUUAAUCCUAAUUGUAUUGAAGAAUUUUUCUCAAUCUCCUUAUUGGAAAAUCUAUAUAAGAUUUUGGCUACAUUUUUUUGCAAACAGGCUUAGCAAGGGGAUGGAUUCUUUAGUUUCUUGUAAUCAAUUGACUUUUUGUGAAAGGGAGGUUUUGGUUGAUGGGGGUGGCAGUAAUAAAUCAAGUGG
Molecule: long non-coding RNA, 635 nt
Filed under: Trifolium pratense (red clover)
Lineage: Eukaryota; Viridiplantae; Streptophyta; Magnoliopsida; Fabales; Fabaceae
Description: long non-coding RNA (TPRA_LNC013999)
Source: RNAcentral